Molecule: ribosomal RNA, 500 nt
Filed under: uncultured bacterium
Lineage: Bacteria
Description: partial 16S ribosomal RNA
Rfam family: Bacterial small subunit ribosomal RNA
Source: RNAcentral
AUUGAACGCUGGCGGCAUGCUUUACACAUGCAAGUCGAACGGUAACAGGGUGCUUGCACCGCUGACGAGUGGCGAACGGGUGAGUAAUGCGUCGGAACGUGCCGAGUAGUGGGGGAUAACGCAGCGAAAGUUGUGCUAAUACCGCAUACGUACUGAGGUAGAAAGUGGGGGACCUUCGGGCCUCACGCUAUUCGAGCGGCCGACGUCUGAUUAGCUAGUAGGUGAGGUAAAGGUUCACCUAGGCGACGAUCAGUAGCGGGUCUGAGAGGAUGAUCCGCCACACUGGGACUGAGACACGGCCCAGAAUCCUACGGGAGGCAGCAGUGGGGAAUUUUGGACAAUGGGCGAAAGCCUGAUCCAGCCAUGCCGCGUGUCUGAAGAAGGCCUUCGGGUUGUAAAGGACUUUUGUCAGGGAGGAAAUCCCUAGUGCUAAUAACACUGGGGGAUGACAGUACCUGAAGAAUAAGCACCGGCUAACUACGUGCCAGCCGCCUCCGUAA